RNAcentral lists this long non-coding RNA (239 nucleotides) under Capsicum annuum. RNAcentral's name for it is "long non-coding RNA (CANN_LNC002630)". The record is from RNAcentral. Lineage: Eukaryota; Viridiplantae; Streptophyta; Magnoliopsida; Solanales; Solanaceae.
ACGGGAUUUGGCCUCAUUUAACCCAAAAAUACUAGUUUCUCUCAAGUUGUUCAAGAAUAAGAGUUAGGGUUCCUAAAUCAAGACCCCAAUCAUCAAUAUUCCUCCGUUAACUUUUUAAGAAUCAUGAAACUAAGGUAUGCAGAUGUUGAUUCUUCAGUCCCUUUCAUCUAAGAAGCUCAAAAGCCCUUUUCUAAAUUUCAAAGAUCUUAUGUUUAUGAGUUUUCAUGAUUCAUAUGAAU